GACGAACGCUGGCGGCGUGCUUAACACAUGCAAGUCGAACGGAAAGGCCCUGCUUGCAGGGUACUUGAGUGGCGAACGGGUGAGUAACACGUGGGUGAGCUGCCCUGCUCUUGGGGAUAAGCCUCGGAAACUGGGUCUAAUACCGGAUACGAGCCAUCUUUAGUGUGAUGGUUGGAAAGUUUUUUCGUGGUAGGAUGAGCUCGCGGCCUAUCAGCUUGUUGGUGGGGUAGUGGCCUACCAAGACGACGGGGGGUAGCCGGCCUGGGGGGGUGGACGGCCACAUUGGGACUGAGGGACGGCCCAGACGCCUACGGGAGGCAGAAGGGGGGAAGAUUGAACAAUGGGCGCAAGCCGGAUGCAGAGAGGCCGCGGGGGGGAUGACGGCCUUCGGGUUGCCAACUCCUUUAGCUAGGGACGAAGCUUUUUGUGACGUUACCUAGAUAAGAAGCACCGGCUAACUACGUG
Molecule: ribosomal RNA, 465 nt
Filed under: uncultured bacterium
Lineage: Bacteria
Description: partial 16S ribosomal RNA
Rfam family: Bacterial small subunit ribosomal RNA
Source: RNAcentral